UGUAAAAUAUUUAAUGCUACUUGGUAAACUGCAUGGAGUUUUAUUUUAUUCUCAAACUUAUUACUAAUUAUGUUCCUUAAUUCAUAUUUAGUAAUAAUGCAUACUACUUAGGGAUCUAUUUUAUUUUUAGGAUGAUAUUACAAAGGUGAAAUUCAGGCAUAGAAUAAUAUUUUUAAUUAAAUUUAUUCAGUUCCCAUUUGCUCAUAGGUCCUUAAUUUUUUUUCAUUAAUGGUCCUUAAAAGGCCUUAAUUUCCGUGUGCAAAAAUGUGUACGAACCCUGAGGGAGCCUUUCUGAAAUACAUGUAGGCGUAUGCUGCCAGCCAACAUAAUACCUCCCCAAACCAUUAUACCUCCACAACAAUAAUGAGCCCUGAUGAAUGAGAGAUGGUAUCAUGUUCUAGGCUGUCUCCAGAUACAUGUACACAAAAAUGAGUGUCCAGUCUGAAUCUAGACUCAUCUGUAAAAAGCAAGGUACUUCACUGAAAUCUGGCCAAGUCCCAUGUUGGCUGCACGAUGCUAAAUGUGCUCUCAUGUGUGCUGCAGUGAAUGGGAUGCAAAGAGUGUGUCUUCUGUCAUACAGUCCUAUCUCAUAAAGCCUUUGGGAAACUGUAGACUGUGAAACUUGGGUUCCAAUGACUGCAUACAGCUUACCUGGGAGUAUCAAUAUUAAGAGCCGACAAUAUAAAUCCAUCUUUUCCUAGGCAAACAGCAGUGGUAAGAUUAAAAAAUUUUAAGAAUCGAUUCGCUAAAAAAUAAAUAGUUUAAUAAGCUAAAAACUAAACUCAGUGGUGUAACAGCCCUAGUGGGCCAUUGCCUGCAGUGCCCCGAAAUAUGCUUUCUUGACCGUGGGCUCCAGGGUGCGUAAGCAUAUGCCCUGAACAAGUGGUCAGCUUGUCGCAGGACACCCCCUUCCCAGUAUUUGGUCCCCAAGCGAACUUGAUACUCAUUUCAUCGACCCAAAGGAUGAAAGGCUGAGUCGGCUUUGCCCAGCCCGGGGAUUGAACCCCCGACCUGUGGUGCUGCUGCGCAAUGUGCUAGCCACUGCGCCACCGGGCCUUAAAUAGUUUAAUAAGAGGGAAAUAAAUUAACUACCAACAGUGAAUAAAUGUUAACAUUAAUUGUUAAUAGCCAAUUCGGCAAACUAAAAGCUGAAUAUCAUUGCAUUAGAAAGCUCAAGUUAUGGACUGCAUGUGUAAUGUAAAUGGGAUACAUGCCAGUGUACAGAAUCAAAAGUGAUAGAAAAUGUGUAACGUGCAUGUAUUUACAAAAUUCUAUUACAUGCAAAAUGUGUUAACAUGUGUGUUCUUUAAUAUACUCAUUUUUAAUAAAUAACUUAAUUCCUCUAGGAUAACAUUCAGGUUGAAAAUAGGAAGCAUAACAUUAAAGGUUAUCCAGAAUUAGAAGAACUUGAGAAAGAUGCUGGAGAGAGCUUUGAUCCUGAAAAGUACAAAUUUAAAUAGAAAUUCGUUGUGUAAAACCUGUGUAUUUAUUGUGAUUUAAUAUUUAUUAUAAUAAAUGUGAAAACAAUACUGCAGUAA
This is a long non-coding RNA of Stegodyphus dumicola, 1538 nucleotides long. Lineage: Eukaryota; Metazoa; Arthropoda; Arachnida; Araneae; Eresidae. The record is from RefSeq and is a predicted model, not a curated record.